This 431-nucleotide ribosomal RNA is filed under the name uncultured bacterium. RNAcentral describes it as "partial 16S ribosomal RNA". It matches the Rfam family "Bacterial small subunit ribosomal RNA", at positions 29 to 507 of the family's 1533-position model. The record is from RNAcentral.
AACGAACGCUGGCGGCGUGCCUAACACAUGCAAGUCGAGCGCCCAUGCGCGGGUGCGGCGGACGGGUGAGUAACCCGUGGGGAUAUGCCCUUCUCUACGGCCUAGCCUCGGGAAACUGAUAGUAAUACCGUAUACGCCCUGCGGGGGGAAGAUUUCUCGGGGUAGGAUUAGGCCGCGUUGGAUUAGGGAGUUGGUGGGGUAAUGGCCUGCCAAGCCGACGAUUCAUAGCUGGUUUGAGAGGAUGAUCAGCCACACUGGGACUGAGACACGGCCCAGACUCGUACGGGAGGCAGCAGAGGGGAAUCUUAGACAAGGGGGGCAACCCUGAUAUAGCCAUGCCGGGUGAGUGAUGAAGGCCUUAGGGUUGUAAAGCUCUUUCAGCUGAGAAGAUAAUGACGGUACCAGCAGAAGAAGCCCCGGCUAACUACGUG